Molecule: non-coding RNA, 153 nt
Filed under: Rhodnius prolixus
Lineage: Eukaryota; Metazoa; Arthropoda; Insecta; Hemiptera; Reduviidae
Description: Eukaryotic small subunit ribosomal RNA
Rfam family: Eukaryotic small subunit ribosomal RNA
Source: Rfam by way of RNAcentral
UCUCUGGUUGAUCCUGCCAGUAGUCAUAUGCUUGUCUCAAAGCUUAAGCCAUGCAAGUGUCAGUACAUACUAAAUUAAAGUGAAACCGCAAAGGGCUCAGUAAACCAGUUUUAAUUUACUAGAGUUUUCACGUUUCGUACGUGGAUAACUGUG